RNAcentral lists this ribosomal RNA (515 nucleotides) under uncultured bacterium. RNAcentral's name for it is "bacterial SSU rRNA". It matches the Rfam family "Bacterial small subunit ribosomal RNA", at positions 67 to 609 of the family's 1533-position model. The record is from RNAcentral.
CGAGGACUUCGGUCCUAGUGGCGAACGGUCGCGUAACACGUAAGCAACCUGCCCUGAAGUGGGGGACAACAUCCCGAAAGGGGUGCUGAUACCGCAUGUGGUCACGAGUCGGCAUCGACUUGUGUCUAAAGAUUUAUCGCUUCAGGAUGGGCUUGCGGCCUAUCAGGUAGUUGGUGGGGUAAUGGCCUACCAAGCCGACGACGGGUAGCUGGUCUGAGAGGACGAUCAGCCGGAUUGGGACUGAGAUACGGCCCAGACUCCUACGGGGGGCAGCAAUUAGGAAUCUUGCGCAAUGGGGGAAACCCUGACGCAGCGACGUCGCGUGAAGGAUGAAGGCCCUCGGGUCGUAAACUUCUUUUGAGUGGGAAGAAAUUUGACGGUACCACUCGAAUAAGCCCCGGCUAACUACGUGCCAGCAGCCGCGGUAAUACGUAGGGGGCGAGCGUUGUCCGAAGUUACUGGGCGUAAAGCGCGCGUAGGCGGUUAUUUAAGUCUGGGGUGAAAGGUUCAGCGCU